UACAGAGAGUGCAAACGUUGUUCGGAAUUACUGGGCUUGAAGCGCACGUAGGCGGCGUUGUAAGUGUCGGGUGAAAUCCCACGGCUCACCCGUGGAACUGCCCGGCAUACUGCGAUGCUAGAGUGUGGUAGGGGAGAGCGGAACUCCUGGUGGAGCGGUGAAAUGCGUAGAUAUCUGGAGGAACACCGGUGGCGAAGGCGGCGUUCUGGACUGUUUCUGACACUGAAAAACGAAAGCCAGGGGAGCAAACGGG
Molecule: ribosomal RNA, 253 nt
Filed under: uncultured bacterium
Lineage: Bacteria
Description: partial 16S ribosomal RNA
Rfam family: Bacterial small subunit ribosomal RNA
Source: RNAcentral